This 31-nucleotide non-coding RNA is filed under the name Homo sapiens (human). Lineage: Eukaryota; Metazoa; Chordata; Mammalia; Primates; Hominidae. The record is from RNAcentral.
UAACCAGACAUCCCAGACCUCCUGGACGAGC